CGCGGCCUAUCAGCUUGUUGGUGAGGUAAUGGCUCACCAAGGCGACGACGGGUAGCCGGCCUGAGAGGGCGACCGGCCACACUGGGACUGAGACACGGCCCAGACUCCUACGGGAGGCAGCAGUAGGGAAUAUUGGGCAAUGGGCGCAAGCCUGACCCAGCGACGCCGCGUGAGGGAUGAAGGUCUUCGGAUUGUAAACCUCUUUCAGUAGGGAAGAAGCGAAAGUGACGGUACCUAAAGAAGAAGCACCGGCUAACUAUGUGCCAGCAGCCGCGGUAAUACAUAGGGUGCAAGCGUUGUCCGGAAUUAUUGGGCGUAAAGAGCUCGUAGGUUGUUUGUCGCGUCGAUUGUGAAAAUCUGAGGCUCAACCUCAGACCUGCAGUCGAUACGGGCAAACUAGAGUGUGGUAGGGGAGACUGGAAUUCCUGGUGUAGCGGUGGAAUGCGCAGAUAUCAGGAGGAACACCAAUGGCGAAGGCAGGUCUCUGGGCCAUAACUGACACUGAGGAGCGAAAGUGCGGGGAGCGAACAGGAUUAGAUACCCUGGUAGUCCGCACCGUAAACGGUGGGCACUAGUUGUGGGAACCUUCCACGGUUUCCGCGACGCAGCAAACGCAUUAAGUGCCCCGCCUGGGGAGUACGG
Molecule: ribosomal RNA, 642 nt
Filed under: uncultured Actinomycetes bacterium
Lineage: Bacteria; Bacillati; Actinomycetota; Actinomycetes
Description: bacterial SSU rRNA
Rfam family: Bacterial small subunit ribosomal RNA
Source: RNAcentral